GUCCACGCCCUAAACGAUGUCUACUAGUUGUCGGGUUUUAAUUAACUUGGUAACGCAGCUAACGCGUGAAGUAGACCGCCUGGGGAGUACGGUCGCAAGAUUAAAACUACAAAGGAAAUUGACGGGGACCCGGCACAAAGCGGUGGAUGAUGUGGAUUAAAUUCGAUGCAACGCGAAAAACCUUAACCUACCCUUGACAUGUACGGAAGCCACGAGAGAUCGAGGUGUGCUCGAAAGAGAGCCGUAACACAGGUGCUGCAUGGCUGUCGU
This 270-nucleotide ribosomal RNA is filed under the name uncultured bacterium. RNAcentral's name for it is "partial 16S ribosomal RNA". It matches the Rfam family "Bacterial small subunit ribosomal RNA", at positions 793 to 1055 of the family's 1533-position model. The record is from RNAcentral.